ACAGAGGGGGCAAGCGUUGUUCGGAAUUACUGGGCGUAAAGGGCGCGUAGGCGGCCUUCUAAGUCGAACGUGAAAUCCCCGGGCUCAACCUGGGAACUGCGUCGGAUACUGGAUGGCUUGAAUUCGGGAGAGGGAUGCAGAAUUCCAGGUGUAGCGGUGAAAUGCGUAGAUAUCUGGAGGAACACCGGUGGCGAAGGCGGCUUUCUGGACAAAUACCGACGCUGAGGCACGAAAGCUAGGGGAGCAAACAGGA
Molecule: ribosomal RNA, 253 nt
Filed under: uncultured prokaryote
Description: partial 16S ribosomal RNA
Rfam family: Bacterial small subunit ribosomal RNA
Source: RNAcentral